AUUGAACGCUGGCGGCAGGCCUAACACAUGCAAGUCGAGCGGAUGAAGGGAGCUUGCUCCUGGAUUCAGCGGCGGACGGGUGAGGAAUGCCUAGGAAUCUGCCUGGUAGUGGGGGAUAACGUCCGGAAACGGGCGCUAAUACCGCAUACGUCCUGAGGGAGAAAGUGGGUGAUCUUCGGACCUCACGCUAUCAGAUGAGCCUAGGUCUGAUUAGCUAGUUGGUGGGGUAAAGGCCUACCAAGGCGACGAUCCGUAACGGGUCUGAGAGGAUGAUCAGUCACACUGGAACUGAGACACGGUCCAGACUCCUACGGGAGGCAGCAGUGGGGAAUAUUGGACAAUGGGCGAAAGCCUGAUCCAGCCAUGCCGCGUGUGUGAAGAGGGUCUUCGGAUUGUAAAGCUCUUUAAGUUGGGAGGAAGGGCAGUAAGUUAAUACCUUGCUGUUUUGACGUUACCAACAGAAUAAGCACCGGCUAACUUCGUG
Molecule: ribosomal RNA, 484 nt
Filed under: uncultured bacterium
Lineage: Bacteria
Description: partial 16S ribosomal RNA
Rfam family: Bacterial small subunit ribosomal RNA
Source: RNAcentral